UUCUUAUUCUGCAGUGAUCAUUUGAUUGGAAGAGCUGAGGUUUAAGCAAAGACAUGAAUUAAACAGCAGAACUGGCAUUCAAUUCUGGAAGCUGGUAAAAAGUGUUUCUGUUUGCAGAGUAGAUGUCCGGAUUAGCUACUAUUCCUUAGGCAGCAGGCACUGCAGUUUAUCCUCCAAGCAAGAUGUUUUCCCUGCGAUAGAAAACUUGUGCUUUACCACUUUCCUGAGUGUACCUUGAAACAAUGAGGCCUUCCCUAGAGAGAAUGCCUGACUUUGGUAAGCUACUGCCAUGAAAAACUUG
RNAcentral lists this long non-coding RNA (301 nucleotides) under Gallus gallus (chicken). Its description in RNAcentral is "lncRNA (ENSGALG00010026000.1)". Lineage: Eukaryota; Metazoa; Chordata; Aves; Galliformes; Phasianidae. The record is from RNAcentral.